GAUGAACGCUAGCGACAGGCUUAACACAUGCAAGUCGAGGGGCAGCGGAGUUGUAGCUUGCUAUAACUGCCGGCGACCGGCGCACGGGUGAGUAACACGUAUGCAACCUGCCCGUUGCAGGGGGAUAAGCGGAAGAAAUUCCGUCUAAUACCGCGUAAUAUACUUUAGGGGCAUCCUUUUAGUAUUAAAGAUUUAUCGGGCAACGGAUGGGCAUGCGGCGCAUUAGCUAGUUGGUGAGGUAACGGCUCACCAAGGCAACGAUGCGUAGGGGUUCUGAGAGGAAGGUCCCCCACACUGGUACUGGAGACACGGACCAGACCUCCUACGGGAGGCAGCAGUGGGGAAUAUUGGGCAAUGGGCGAAAGCCUGACCCAGCAACGCCGCGUGAAGGAAGAAGGCCUUCGGGUUGUAAACUUCUUUUAGCAGGGACGAAGGACGUGACGGUACCUGCAGAAAAAGCAACGGCUAACUACGUG
Molecule: ribosomal RNA, 476 nt
Filed under: uncultured bacterium
Lineage: Bacteria
Description: bacterial SSU rRNA
Rfam family: Bacterial small subunit ribosomal RNA
Source: RNAcentral